This 56-nucleotide transfer RNA is filed under the name Ovis aries (sheep). It matches the Rfam family "tRNA", at positions 8 to 63 of the family's 71-position model. From Rfam's summary of the family: Transfer RNA (tRNA) molecules are approximately 80 nucleotides in length. Their secondary structure includes four short double-helical elements and three loops (D, anti-codon, and T loops). The record is from Rfam by way of RNAcentral. Lineage: Eukaryota; Metazoa; Chordata; Mammalia; Artiodactyla; Bovidae.
UGGCUUAGAGGUUAAAGCGUCUGCCUCCAAAGCGGGAGAACUGGGUUCGAUCCCGG